ACGGGAGGCAGCAGCUAAGAAUAUUCCGCAAUGGACGAAAGUCUGACGGAGCGACGCCGCGUGGAUGAUGAAGGUCGGAAGAUUGUAAAAUCCUUUUAUGACUGAGGAAUAAGUGAAGUGAGAGAAACGCUUCAUGGUGACUGUAGGUCAUGAAUAAGCAACGGCUAAUUACGUGCCAGCAGCCGCGGUAACACGUAAGUUGCGAGCGUUGUUCGGAAUUAUUGGGCGUAAAGGGCAUGUAGGCGGUUUUGCAAGCUUGGUGUGAAAUCCCGGAGCUCAACUCCGGAAUUGCGUUGAGAACUGCAUAACUAGAGUCACUGAGGGGCAGGCAGAAUUCCAGGUGUAGGGGUGAAAUCUGUAGAUAUCUGGAAGAAUACCAAUGGCGAAGGCAGCCUGCCAGCAGAUGACUGACGCUGAGGUGCGAAGGUGCGGGGAGCAAACAGGAUUAGAUACCCUGGUA
Molecule: ribosomal RNA, 460 nt
Filed under: uncultured Treponema sp.
Lineage: Bacteria; Pseudomonadati; Spirochaetota; Spirochaetia; Treponematales; Treponemataceae
Description: partial 16S ribosomal RNA
Rfam family: Bacterial small subunit ribosomal RNA
Source: RNAcentral